Molecule: ribosomal RNA, 417 nt
Filed under: Escherichia coli
Lineage: Bacteria; Pseudomonadati; Pseudomonadota; Gammaproteobacteria; Enterobacterales; Enterobacteriaceae
Description: partial 23S ribosomal RNA
Rfam family: Bacterial large subunit ribosomal RNA
Source: RNAcentral
UCGGCUCAUCACAUCCUGGGGCUGAAGUAGGUCCCAAGGGUAUGGCUGUUCGCCAUUUAAAGUGGUACGCGAGCUGGGUUUAGAACGUCGUGAGACAGUUCGGUCCCUAUCUGCCGUGGGCGCUGGAGAACUGAGGGGGGCUGCUCCUAGUACGAGAGGACCGGAGUGGACGCAUCACUGGUGUUCGGGUUGUCAUGCCAAUGGCACUGCCCGGUAGCUAAAUGCGGAAGAGAUAAGUGCUGAAAGCAUCUAAGCACGAAACUUGCCCCGAGAUGAGUUCUCCCUGACCCUUUAAGGGUCCUGAAGGAACGUUGAAGACGACGACGUUGAUAGGCCGGGUGUGUAAGCGCAGCGAUGCGUUGAGCUAACCGGUACUAAUGAACCGUGAGGCUUAACCUUACAACGCCGAAGGUGUUU